Molecule: ribosomal RNA, 433 nt
Filed under: uncultured bacterium
Lineage: Bacteria
Description: partial 16S ribosomal RNA
Rfam family: Bacterial small subunit ribosomal RNA
Source: RNAcentral
AACGAACGCUGGCGGCAUGCCUAACACAUGCAAGUCGAACGAGACCUUCGGGUCUAGUGGCGCACGGGUGCGUAACGCGUGGGAACCUGCCCUUAGGUUCGGAAUAACUCCCCGAAAGGGGUGCUAAUACCGGAUAAUGUCUUCGGACCAAAGAUUUAUCGCCUUUGGAUGGGCCCGCGUUGGAUUAGCUUGUUGGUAGGGUAAAAGCCUACCAAGGCGACGAUCCAUAGCUGGUCUGAGAGGAUGAUCAGCCACACUGGGACGGGGACACGGCCCAGAAUAUUACGGGAGGCAGCAGUGGGGAAUAUUGGAAAAUGGGCGAAAGCAUGAUCCAGCAAUGCCGCGUGAGUGAUGAAGGCCUUAGGGUUGUAAAGCUCUUUUACCCGGGAUGAUAAUGACAGUACCGGGAGAAUAAGCUCCGGCUAACUCCGUG